RNAcentral lists this ribosomal RNA (301 nucleotides) under uncultured bacterium. Its description in RNAcentral is "partial 16S ribosomal RNA". It matches the Rfam family "Bacterial small subunit ribosomal RNA", at positions 509 to 808 of the family's 1533-position model. The record is from RNAcentral.
CAGUCGCCGCGGUAAUACGUAGGUCCCGAGCGUUGUCCGGAUUUAUUGGGCGUAAAGCGAGCGCAGGCGGUUAAAUAAGUCUGAAGUUAAAGGCUGUGGCUUAACCAUAGUACGCUUUGGAAACUGUUUAACUUGAGUGCAAGAGGGGAGAGUGGAAUUCCAUGUGUAGCGGUGAAAUGCGUAGAUAUAUGGAGGAACACCGGUGGCGAAAGCGGCUCUCUGGCUUGUGACUGACGCUGAGGCUCGAAAGCGUGGGGAGCAAACAGGAUUAGAUACCCCAGUAGUCCCUGUCUCUUAUACC